CUGGCGGCGUGCCUAAUACAUGCAAGUCGAACGGUCUUUCUAUGGAAGCUUGCUCCACUGAGAAGAUAGUGGCGAACGGGUGAGUAACACGUGGGGUAACCUGCCCAUAAGAGGGGGGAUAACAUCCGGAAACGGGUGCUAAUACCGCAUAGUUUCUUGAUCGCAUGAUCGGGAAAGGAAAGACGGCCUUUGUGCUGUCGCUUAUGGAUGGACCCGCGGCGUAUUAGUUAGUUGGUGAGGUAACGGCUCACCAAGACGAUGAUACGUAGCCGACCUGAGAGGGUGAUCGGCCACAUUGGGACUGAGACACGGCCCAAACUCCUACGGGAGGCAGCAGUAGGGAAUCUUCCGCAAUGGACGAAAGUCUGACGGAGCAACGCCGCGUGAGUGAAAGAAGGUUUUCGGAUCGUAAAACUCUGUUGUCAGAGAAGAACAAGUUGGAGAGUAACUGCUCCAGCCUUGACGGUAUCUGACCAGAAAGCCACGGCUAACUACGUGCCAGCCGCGGC
Molecule: ribosomal RNA, 509 nt
Filed under: uncultured bacterium
Lineage: Bacteria
Description: bacterial SSU rRNA
Rfam family: Bacterial small subunit ribosomal RNA
Source: RNAcentral